AACGAACGCUGGCGGCAUGCCUAACACAUGCAAGUCGAACGAGACCUUCGGGUCUAGUGGCGCACGGGUGCGUAACGCGUGGGAACCUGCCCUUAGGUUCGGAAUAACUCCCCGAAAGGGGUGCUAAUACCGGAUAAUGUCUUCGGACCAAAGAUUUAUCGCCUUUGGAUGGGCCCGCGUUGGAUUAGCUAGUUGGUAGGGUAAAAGCCUACCAAGGCGACGAUCCAUAGCUGGUCUGAGAGGAUGAUCAGCCACACUGGGACUGAGACACGGCCCAGACUCCUACGGGAGGCAGCAGUGGGGAAUAAUGGACAAUGGGAGAAAGGCUGAUCCAGCAAUGCCGCGUGAGUGAUGAAGGCCUUAGGGUUGUAAAGCUCUUUUACCCGGGAUGAUAAUGACAGUACCGGGAGAAUAAGCUCCGGCUAACUCCGUG
RNAcentral lists this ribosomal RNA (433 nucleotides) under uncultured bacterium. RNAcentral describes it as "partial 16S ribosomal RNA". It matches the Rfam family "Bacterial small subunit ribosomal RNA", at positions 29 to 507 of the family's 1533-position model. The record is from RNAcentral.